This 1436-nucleotide ribosomal RNA is filed under the name uncultured bacterium. RNAcentral's name for it is "bacterial SSU rRNA". It matches the Rfam family "Bacterial small subunit ribosomal RNA". The record is from RNAcentral.
AGAGUUUGAUCCUGGCUCAGAACGUACGCUGGCGGCACGCCUAACACAUGCAAGUCGAACGAAGUAGCAAUACUUAGUGGCAGACGGGUGAGUAACAUGUAGGUAUCUGCCCUUUGGCCUGGAAUAACACGAGGAAACUUGUGCUAAUACCGGAUAAGUCUUUACGGAGAAAGCUUUAUGCACCAUUGGAUGAGCCUGCACUUGAUUAGUUUGUUGGUGGGGUAAUGGCCUACCAAGACUGUGAUCAAUAGCUGAUUUGAGAGGAUGAUCAGCCGCAUUGGGACUGAGACACGGCCCAAACUCCUACGGGAGGCAGCAGUGGGGAAUCUUGCACAAUGGAGGAAACUCUAAUGCAGCGAUGCCGCGUGAGUGAAGAAGGCCUUUGGGUUGUAAAGCUCUUUCGUCGGGGAAGAAAAUGACUGUACCCGAAUAAGAAGGUCCGGCUAACUUCGUGCCAGCAGCCGCGGUAAUACGAAGGGACCUAGCGUAGUUCGGAAUUACUGGGCUUAAAGAGUUCGUAGGUGGUUGAAAAAGUUGGUGGUGAAAUCCCAGAGCUUAACUCUGGAACUGCCAUCAAAACUUUUCAGCUAGAGUAUGAUAGAGGAAAGCAGAAUUUCUAGUGUAGAGGUGAAAUUCGUAGAUAUUAGAAAGAAUACCAAUUGCGAAGGCAGCUUUCUGGAUCACUACUGACACUGAGGAACGAAAGCAUGGGUAGCGAAGAGGAUUAGAUACCCUCGUAGUCCAUGCCGUAAACGAUGUGUGUUAGACGUUGGAAAUUUAUUUUCAGUGUCGCAGCGAAAGCGAUAAACACACCGCCUGGGGAGUACGACCGCAAGGUUAAAACUCAAAUGAAUUGACGGGGACCCGCGCAAGUAGUGGAGCAUGUGGUUUAAUUCGAAGAUACGCGCAGAACCUUACCAACACUUGACAUGUUCGUCGCGACUUUAAGAGAUUAAAGUUUUCGGUUCGGCCGGACGAAACACAGGUGCUGCAUGGCUGUCGUCCGCUCGUGUCGUGAGAUGUUGGGUUAAGUCCCGCAACGAGCGCAACCCUCACUUUUAGUUGCCAUCAUUAAGUUGGGCACUCUGAAAGAACUGCCAGUGAUAAGCUGGAGGAAGGUGGGGAUGACGUCAAGUCCUCAUGGCCCUUACGUGUUGGGCUACACACGUGCUACAAUGGUAUCUACAACAGGAAGCAAAACCGCGAGGUUAAGCAAAUCCUUAAAAGAUACCUCAGUUCGGAUUGCACUCUGCAACUCGAGUGCAUGAAGCUGGAAUUACUAGUAAUCGUGGAUCAGCGUGCCACGGUGAAUGCGUUCCCGGGUCUUGUACACACCGCCCGUCACACCAUGGGAGUUGGUUCUACCUUAAGGCAAGGUUUUAAACCCUUGACCACGGUAUAGUCAGCGACUGGGGUGAAGUCGUAACAAGGUAACC